CCUACGGGAGGCAGCAGUGAGGAAUAUUGGUCAAUGGUCGGGAGCCUGAACCAGCCAAGCCGCGUGAGGGAGGAAGGUACAGAGUAUCGUAAACCUCUUUUGUCAGGGAACAAAGCCGGGGACGUGUCCCCGGAUGAGUGUACCUGACGAACAAGCAUCGGCUAACUCCGUGCCAGCAGCCGCGGUAAUACGGAGGGUGCGAGCGUUAUCCGGAUUUAUUGUGUUUAAGGGGUGCGCAGGCGGUCUGUCAAGUCAGCGGUCAAAGCCCGGGGCUCAACCCCGGCCCGCCGUUGAAACUGGCAGGCUCGAGUUGGAGAGAGGUAGGCGGAAUGCGCGGUGUAGCGGUGAAAUGCAUAGAUAUCGCGAAGAACUCCGAUUGCGAAGGCAGCAUGCCGGCUCCACACUGACGCUGAGGCACGAAAGCGUGGGUAUCGAACAGGAUUAGAUACCCGAGUAGUC
Molecule: ribosomal RNA, 459 nt
Filed under: uncultured bacterium
Lineage: Bacteria
Description: partial 16S ribosomal RNA
Rfam family: Bacterial small subunit ribosomal RNA
Source: RNAcentral